Molecule: small nucleolar RNA, 87 nt
Filed under: Marchantia polymorpha subsp. ruderalis
Lineage: Eukaryota; Viridiplantae; Streptophyta; Marchantiopsida; Marchantiales; Marchantiaceae
Description: Small nucleolar RNA R64/Z200 family
Rfam family: Small nucleolar RNA R64/Z200 family
About the family: This family of plant small nucleolar RNAs belong to the C/D class of snoRNA which contain the C (UGAUGA) and D (CUGA) box motifs. This family includes Arabidopsis thaliana snoRNA R64 and Oryza sativa snoRNAs Z200 and J16. Most of the members of the box C/D family function in directing site-specific 2'-O-methylation of substrate RNAs.
Source: Rfam by way of RNAcentral
UCUCUGCAGUGAUGAUCAAUCUUUGCAUGUUAGACUAUGGAGAUGGUUCUUACCGUCCAUGAAUAACAACUUAUUUCUGAGCAGAGA